Non-coding RNA from Acanthosepion pharaonis, 112 nucleotides. The record is from the annotation of a GenBank genome assembly. NCBI's taxonomy places the organism in Eukaryota, Metazoa, Mollusca, Cephalopoda, Sepiida, Sepiidae.
UACGGCCACAUAAUAUAGAAACACCGCUUCCCGUACGAUCACCGAUGUUAAGCAACGUCGAGCCUGGUCGGUACCUAGAUGAGUGACGUCUUGGGAAUAUCAAGUGCUGUAA